RNAcentral lists this long non-coding RNA (201 nucleotides) under Setaria italica (foxtail millet). RNAcentral describes it as "long non-coding RNA (SITA_LNC006661)". Lineage: Eukaryota; Viridiplantae; Streptophyta; Magnoliopsida; Poales; Poaceae. The record is from RNAcentral.
CAUGAUUGAUGAUCUUGUUGAAUUAACAGUGUGGCACUGGUACCCGCGCUCGUAGAUGCUGCACAUCGGUGUGUUGGUUAAUCCAAACCGCCGAACACCUGGUGGGCGGCGAAGUGAAGACCUGGACGUUGAUGAACCCUUGACAAUCAAGAAGACGACUUGUUCGCAACAGACAUGGAUCGGCUUCCCCAGCGGUGUAGC